UACGUAGGGCGCGAGCGUUGUCCGGAAUUAUUGGGCGUAAAGAGCUCGUAGGCGGCCUGUUGCGUCUGCUGUGAAAUCCCGGGGCUUAACCCCGGGCGUGCAGUGGAUACGGGCAGGCUGGAGGCAGGCAGGGGAGAACGGAAUUCCCGGUGUAGCGGUGGAAUGCGCAGAUAUCAGGAGGAACACCGGUGGCGAAGGCGGGUCUCUGGGCCGUUACUGACGCUGAGGAGCGAAAGCGUGGGGAGCGAACAGG
This 253-nucleotide ribosomal RNA is filed under the name uncultured bacterium. RNAcentral's name for it is "partial 16S ribosomal RNA". It matches the Rfam family "Bacterial small subunit ribosomal RNA", at positions 524 to 776 of the family's 1533-position model. The record is from RNAcentral.